UCUCUUGGACAGAAUGUUUCAAGAUGGGCAUGCACCCAAUCUGGAGAUUUACAAUGCACUGAUCGAAGCUUUUUGCACAUGCAAUGGUGAAAUGGAGGCAGUUGGAUUGAAGGAUGAGAUGAUUGAUAAAGGCAUUAGACCUGAUUUGGCUACAUACAGGGCUCUUAUUGCGUGCUUGUGUGGACUGAGUAGAAGCAUCGAUGGAGAAUGCUUGAUGAGAGAAAUGGUUGAAUCUGGCUUAGUGCCCGACUCGGUGAUUUGCGCCGUCUUGAUAAAUGGGUAUUGUAAGGAAAGAGAUUUUAAGAAGGCGGAAUCCCUUCUGUGCUACUUCGCAGAGAAAUUUCAUUUGUAUGAUAUUGCAAGCUACAAUGUGAUUAUCAAAGUAUACUGUGAUGAAGGCAGUGUGGCCAAAUCAUUAGAGCUGCAGGAUAGGAUGUUGAAAUUGGGUUAUGUACCAAAUAGCCAGACGUGCAAGUCUCUGAUCGAUGGAUUGUUGAGAAGUAGAGGACGUGGAUAGUUGGCCCUGCUCAUAUGAAUGAAAACCUCUCACCAUGACUCUGCCUCUUACAUACUCUAGAGCAAAUGAUUGUGGGAUCCUUGUAAUGAGAUCCAGUUUCAAGUCAGCAUUGGGUACUAUCUUCCUCAAUGGGCAAACAGUUCUUCUGGGCUAUUUAGUGGCCGUCUAUCUGCAAAUUGAGAUCUUUAACUUUGUAUGGUGAUCUUAAAAAUAAAAAAAAAUAAAAAAAAAGCUCAAACAGUGAAGAGAAACAAGUGUGAGAAGAAAACCGUACUGCUAACCUACUUCAGAUCCAGUUUCAAGUCAGCAUUGGGUACUAUCUUCCUCAAUGGGCAAACAGUUCUUCUGGGCUAUUUAGUGGCCGUCUAUCUGCAAAUUGAGAUCUUUAACUUUGUAUGGUGAUCUUAAAAAUAAAAAAAAAUAAAAAAAAAGCUCAAACAGUGAAGAGAAACAAGUGUGAGAAGAAAACCGUACUGCUAACCUACUUCAGGCCACCUCGAAGAGACAAAGGAAGAUCCAAGUCCUAAAAAAGAAGUUUGAAAACCUGAUAGGAAGAGGACAAGGCAGUGGCACUAAUAGGUGUUGAGAUGAUCUCACUUCAUUUGACAUUACCAGCAGAGAGGGCGUUUGCACAGAGAUGGAGUUGCUGAGAGAAGAAUUCUACAUGGUGGUUUUGGAAUAGGCCCGGGUGAGAAGACUUCAGCAAAUGAUGGUAGGGGUGGAGAAGUGCCUUUCUCUGAAUCUUUGUUUAUGGAAGAAGCUGCAGAUGAAGCCAUGAAUAUGUCAGUUGGAGCUGUUUGUCAUGCAAGAAGGAUUUUAGAAGGAAUUGGGUGGAAAGAGGUCUGUAUGGAGUGAACUCAUUUAUGGUCUCCUAAAGUUCUACAUACGGUUUGUUGGGAUGCGAGCUGGAUCGAUUGACUCAGAUAGGAUUAGCCCUUUCCGGUUUGUUUCUAGAAGCAGAUGAGAGGAAACCGAAUUACUGAGAGGGUAUUUGGGAAGUGGCCCUGAAGUGACCUGCAUCAUCACAGCACCUGUUAUAGGCAGCGGGUAAAAUGCUCCAUCUCUGUGAGAGCACCGUGUUGCGCAUGUGACAUCCACUCCAUUCAUCAGGUGCGGGCCUCAAAAUCAGGCCCUGAGGACAAAAAUCAGCCAGAUCCACAACACAUGCGGGCCACACUACAGAUAUCAUUGAGAGGGGAACACCAAUCAUAUGUUUGUUUGUGGGUCCUACCAUGGCUGCAUUUUCCAUCUAACAUGUUCAUCUGGUUUGCCCCAGCAGGAUGAACAAAACACUCCAAAAUAUUAGUCUGAUCCAAAUCUCAGGCAGGCUACAGAGCUUGCAUGUAGUUGUAGGCAUGUUUUUACAAUUUUCCCCAGUGGUGUAGCCCACUUUUUUUUUUUUUUUUUUCUUUCUUUCUUUUAUUUUUUCAUGAGACGAUAUUUGAUUAUGAGCACCUGAUGGAUGGAUUGGAUGUCACACACAACAUGGUGGAUCCCACAGAGCCUGUGUGUUUUACCCGCUGCGUACAACAUGUGGUACAGAGCAUCUCUUGCAUGAGUGCCACUCAUAUCCAUCCAGCUGCAUACGGAAUGAUCUGAAUGGUUCAUGUAGUAGGCAUCAUCAUGUGUGGGCGGUGGGCCACUGUCCUAAAAAACACAACUGGAAAUUUUACUCUCUUCUUUUUUUAUAUUUUUAUUUUUUAUUGUACACACCCACACCACAUGGGCACUCGAUCUCAUGAUCUGAGCAUUAAAACAGAGUUUGUCUACCACUGACCCAUGGAGUCAGACCCCAGCGAGGAGGAAUUUUUAUUAGUUUUGUUUAAUAUCGUAUUUUGAUGCUCUUAGCCGGAUAGUCUGCAUCAUCAAUCUACAUUAUUUUUGGACCACAACCCAUCCACAGUAGUGCCCACAAGAUGGGCUGUUUAGAUCACUCAAACAUGCAGCAAUGUGGGCCCCAUAAACCAUGUGUCACCUCAUUUGUUUUUGUGUUUUCAUCUGGUAGUAACUCCACUUUCUUUACUCCAUUCAGGGGGAGGCUCUCGGGAACAACACAAGGGGCUUGAAAGAACCAUUGCAAGCAGUUGGUAACAAAGGGUGUGUUGGAUUGAGGUGGAACAACCAUGACAGACUCUGAUCAAGCUACAGCACAAUCAGUAUGGGUGCGUUUGGAUGCGCAAUCGAGGCGGAUUGUUUUUAAGUAUAUGGCCGGUUCGUAAAACUUAUUUUGGAAGGAUGGUGAUUUGAUUGGAUGUUGUUUGUUAAUCGAAUUUAUUCUGCUACAGUCGCGGUGUGGAUUAUUUGCUAAUCGGCCCAAAUCAGUGAGGAUUGGUCAGCUGCUGUAGUGAUGUUUUUGUGAAAAUCUAAAGCUAUUUUUACAGUUUCAA
This is an RNA transcript of Magnolia sinica, 2904 nucleotides long. It is a transcript of the gene named SUPPRESSOR OF ABI3-5-like, with no coding region annotated. The transcript has 5 exons. NCBI's taxonomy places the organism in Eukaryota, Viridiplantae, Streptophyta, Magnoliopsida, Magnoliales, Magnoliaceae. The record is from RefSeq and is a predicted model, not a curated record.